UUUAAAUUGAGAGUUUGAUCCUGGCUCAGGAUGAACGCUGGCGGCGUGCUUAACACAUGCAAGUCGAGCGAUGAAGUUUCCUUCGGGAAACGGAUUAGCGGCGGACGGGUGAGUAACACGUGGGUAACCUGCCUCAUAGAGUGGAAUAGCCUUCCGAAAGGAAGAUUAAUACCGCAUAACGUUGAAAGAUGGCAUCAUCAUUCAACCAAAGGAGUAAUCCGCUAUGAGAUGGACCCGCGGCGCAUUAGCUAGUUGGUGGGGUAACGGCCUACCAAGGCGACGAUGCGUAGCCGACCUGAGAGGGUGAUCGGCCACAUUGGGACUGAGACACGGCCCAGACUCCUACGGGAGGCAGCAGUGGGGAAUAUUGCACAAUGGGGGAAACCCUGAUGCAGCAACGCCGCGUGAGUGAUGAAGGUUUUCGGAUCGUAAAGCUCUGUCUUUGGGGAAGAUAAUGACGGUACCCAAGGAGGAAGCCACGGCUAACUA
This 489-nucleotide ribosomal RNA is filed under the name Clostridium perfringens. RNAcentral's name for it is "bacterial SSU rRNA". It matches the Rfam family "Bacterial small subunit ribosomal RNA", at positions 1 to 503 of the family's 1533-position model. Lineage: Bacteria; Bacillati; Bacillota; Clostridia; Eubacteriales; Clostridiaceae. The record is from RNAcentral.